GGACUACAGGGGUUUCUAAUCCUGUUUGCUCCCCACGCUUUCGUGCCUCAGUGUCAGUUACGGUCCAGGAAGUCGCCUUCGCCACUGAUGUUCCUUCCGAUAUCUACGCAUUUCACCGCUACACCGGAAAUUCCACUUCCCUCUACCGCACUCUAGCUUAAUAGUUUCAACUGCAGUUCCCAGGUUGAGCCCGGGGAUUUCACAGCUGACUUACUAAACCACCUACGCACGCUUUACGCCCAGUAAUUCCGAUUAACGCUCGCACCCUCUGUAUUACCGCGGCGGCUGGCAC
RNAcentral lists this ribosomal RNA (292 nucleotides) under uncultured bacterium. RNAcentral describes it as "partial 16S ribosomal RNA". The record is from RNAcentral.